GAUGAAGAACGUAGCAAAAUGCGAUAAGUAAUGUGAAUUGCAGAAUUCAGUGAAUCAUCGAAUCUUUGAACGCACAUUGCGCCCGCCAGUAUUCUGGCGGGCAUGCCUGUUCGAGCGUCAUUUCAACCCUCAAGCACAGCUUGGUGUUGGGACUCGCGUUAAUUCGCGUUCCCCAAAUUGAUUGGCGGUCACGUCGAGCUUCCAUAGCGUAGUAGUAAAACCCUCGUUACUGGUAAUCGUCGCGGCCACGCCGUUAAACCCCAACUUCUGAAUGUUGACCUCGGAUCAGGUAGGAAUACCCGCUGAACUUAAGCAUAUCAAUAACGGAGG
Molecule: unclassified non-coding RNA, 330 nt
Filed under: soil metagenome
Description: partial contains 5.8S ribosomal RNA, internal transcribed spacer 2, and large subunit ribosomal RNA
Rfam family: 5.8S ribosomal RNA (bases 1-120)
Source: RNAcentral